RNAcentral lists this ribosomal RNA (213 nucleotides) under uncultured Actinomycetales bacterium. RNAcentral's name for it is "partial 16S ribosomal RNA". It matches the Rfam family "Bacterial small subunit ribosomal RNA", at positions 120 to 334 of the family's 1533-position model. The record is from RNAcentral. Lineage: Bacteria; Bacillati; Actinomycetota; Actinomycetes; Actinomycetales.
GGUAACCUGCCCUUGACUUUGGGAUAACUUCAGGAAACUGGGGCUAAUACCGGAUAGGAGCUCCUGCUGCAUGGUGGGGGUUGGAAAGUUUCGGCGGUUGGGGAUGGACUCGCGGCUUAUCAGCUUGUUGGUGGGGUAGUGGCUUACCAAGGCUUUGACGGGUAGCCGGCCUGAGAGGGUGACCGGCCACAUUGGGACUGAGAUACGGCCCAG